AGGAAGUAAAAGUCGUAACAAGGUCUCCGUUGGUGAACCAGCGGAGGGAUCAUUACCGAGUUUACAACUCCCAAACCCAAUGUGAACGUUACCAAACUGUUGCCUCGGCGGGGUCACGCCCCGGGUGCGUCGCAGCCCCGGAACCAGGCGCCCGCCGGAGGAACCAACCAAACUCUUUCUGUAGUCCCCUCGCGGACGUAUUUCUUACAGCUCUGAGCAAAAAUUCAAAAUGAAUCAAAACUUUCAACAACGGAUCUCUUGGUUCUGGCAUCGAUGAAGAACGCAGCGAAAUGCGAUAAGUAAUGUGAAUUGCAGAAUUCAGUGAAUCAUCGAAUCUUUGAACGCACAUUGCGCCCGCCAGUAUUCUGGCGGGCAUGCCUGUCCGAGCGUCAUUUCAACCCUCGAACCCCUCCGGGGGAUCGGCGUUGGGGAUCGGGACCCCUCACACGGGUGCCGGCCCCGAAAUACAGUGGCGGUCUCGCCGCAGCCUCUCCUGCGCAGUAGUUUGCACAACUCGCACCGGGAGCGCGGCGCGUCCACGUCCGUAAAACACCCAACUUUCUGAAAUGUUGACCUCGGAUCAGGUAGGAAUACCCGCUGAACUUAAGCAUAUA
RNAcentral lists this ribosomal RNA (614 nucleotides) under Trichoderma asperellum. Its description in RNAcentral is "eukaryotic LSU rRNA". The stretch from base 239 to 392 matches the Rfam family "5.8S ribosomal RNA". Lineage: Eukaryota; Fungi; Ascomycota; Sordariomycetes; Hypocreales; Hypocreaceae. The record is from RNAcentral.